Molecule: long non-coding RNA, 1307 nt
Organism: Gossypium arboreum
Lineage: Eukaryota; Viridiplantae; Streptophyta; Magnoliopsida; Malvales; Malvaceae
Exons: 4
Source: RefSeq, a predicted model, not a curated record
AACAUAAUUUAAACCAUGAGUAUUUUUAUAAUUUACCCUUUAUUUUUUCGCCAGUUAAGAUUAAAAGAAACCGCGGGAACAAGAACGGAAGAGAGAAUCAGUGACUGAAAAACGAAACAUCCAACCGCUGAAAAAGACGGUCGGAAUAAUUGGCUUCUGAAAAACGACACAGUUUCCUUCACAACGCAUGAUUUGUUCUGCAGGUGAAGACUGAUUCAUCUCAUUGGACGCUAGGUAUUUUGUUUUCCAGGAAAAUUACUGUUUUGUUCAAGUUAGGGUAAAGAGAAAAAAAAUAGAAACUUGACAUUAUGGUGAACCGGGCUGAAUCCAUGAUUUAGGAUGAUGAAUCAUCAUUUAAAUUCUUUUGGAGUUGAUCUAAAAUGGGGAUAUUUUAAUUAAGGCCAGAGGAUGAUAUAAUGCACAUAACAUUGCAGAAGAGGGACAAGGGUCAGACCUGGUCAUCACCUAUAGGUCAGGGUCAGCUAGACCCAUAUUCGACUGAUCUCGGGCAAAAGCGCCUCAUGCUUCAUAGGUUUCAGGAAGAGUAUCUUGUCGCUUAGCAUGCGAGGUUAACCAGCAGCAAUAUGAAGAGAAAACGCAUGGUCAUAUAAAGGAAGCUUCUAACACUAAUGCUACGUUUGGUUGGGGUAUUAUUUUUUCCACAUGUUUUAGUCAUUGUUCACAAUUGGUAAUUUUUAGCCACUCUAAAGACUUGUUUGUGACAAAAAGAAGGAAAACUUUCUGCUUAUUUUGAAGAGGUGUUAUUUUUUACAAGGGUUUUACAUAUCUUUCUAAUUGCUUGUUUAUAUUUGUACUAAUUAUUCUUUAUUUUUAUGUCUAACUAUUUUAUCUCUAUUGAGGUCCUAUUGUCAUAGGUAACUUUUGGCUAAUAUACUACAUAAGGACAUAAAACAGUAUCUUAUAUGGAACAAAGCAAGAUUAAACUAAUAAUUAAUAAACCAAGAAGCUACUUUGUGAAUUACAGGACGAUUUGAUCUACAAAUGGGAGUUCGAUCUGUUCUAUAUUAAGAACCCAGGCUUUGAUUUCUCCCAAGCUCAUUUCUAGGGGAGCUGUCCUAAUCCAAGGACUUUUAUGGGCGGUAUCUGUGCUGACUGAGAAUCUUCAUGUGCUGGUUUGAUCACUUACAUUAUCCUGUCAUCAUAUCCUGACCUUUACGUAGUAAAUAAACAAAUCUAAUUUUGGUUUCUCUGUACUGCUUGAAUUAACUUAUUGAGUCAGCAAUCAAUCAAUGCGGUCUGCAAUCACCGUGUUCAAAUCUAAUACAAGAAAUUAGAUUUACAGUAUA